CCUACGGGUGGCUGCAGUGGGGAAUUGUUCGCAAUGGGCGCAAGCCUGACGACGCAACGCCGCGUGGAGGAUGAAGGUCUUCGGAUUGUAAACUCCUGUUGAUCGGGACGAAAAGCUCCAACCCAAUACGUUGGAGACUGACGGUACCGGUUGAGGAAGCCACGGCUAACUCUGUGCCAGCAGCCGCGGUAAUACAGAGGUGGCAAGCGUUGUUCGGAAUUACUGGGCGUAAAGGGCGCGUAGGCGGCCUUCUAAGUCGGACGUGAAAGCCCCAG
RNAcentral lists this ribosomal RNA (275 nucleotides) under uncultured bacterium. RNAcentral's name for it is "partial 16S ribosomal RNA". It matches the Rfam family "Bacterial small subunit ribosomal RNA", at positions 338 to 606 of the family's 1533-position model. The record is from RNAcentral.